UGCCAGCCGCCGCGGUAAGACGAACCGUACGAACGUUAUUCGGAAUUACUGGGCGUAAAGCGCGCGUAGGUGGUCUGUUAAGUCGGAUGUGAAAGCCCCGGGCUCAACCUGGGAACUGCAUUCGAUACUGGCAGACUAGAGUGCGGGAGAGGGAGGUAGAAUUCCAUGUGUAGCGGUGAAAUGCGUAGAUAUGUGGAGGAAUACCAGUGGCGAAGGCGGCCUCCUGGCUCGACACUGACACUGAGGCGCGAAAGCGUGGGAGCAAACAGGAUUAGAUA
This 278-nucleotide ribosomal RNA is filed under the name uncultured bacterium. RNAcentral's name for it is "partial 16S ribosomal RNA". It matches the Rfam family "Bacterial small subunit ribosomal RNA", at positions 506 to 784 of the family's 1533-position model. The record is from RNAcentral.